ACACACCGCCCGUCACACCAUGAGAGUUGAGAAUACCGAAGCCCAUGUCAAAGUGGUCGAAGGUAGGCUUGAUGAUUGGGGUGAAGUCGUAACAAGGUACC
This 101-nucleotide ribosomal RNA is filed under the name uncultured bacterium. RNAcentral describes it as "partial 16S ribosomal RNA". It matches the Rfam family "Bacterial small subunit ribosomal RNA", at positions 1385 to 1500 of the family's 1533-position model. The record is from RNAcentral.